Molecule: transfer RNA, 84 nt
Filed under: Alkalibacterium thalassium
Lineage: Bacteria; Bacillati; Bacillota; Bacilli; Lactobacillales; Carnobacteriaceae
Also listed under: 2 other names
Description: tRNA_Leu_CAA
Rfam family: tRNA
About the family: Transfer RNA (tRNA) molecules are approximately 80 nucleotides in length. Their secondary structure includes four short double-helical elements and three loops (D, anti-codon, and T loops).
Source: RNAcentral
GCCGGCGUGGUGGAAUUGGUAGACACGCUGGACUCAAAAUCCAGUGCCCGUUAGGGCGUGCCGGUUCGACUCCGGCCGCCGGUA